Molecule: ribosomal RNA, 394 nt
Filed under: alpha proteobacterium 7-4
Lineage: Bacteria; Pseudomonadati; Pseudomonadota; Alphaproteobacteria
Description: bacterial SSU rRNA
Rfam family: Bacterial small subunit ribosomal RNA
Source: RNAcentral
CAGCCGCGGUAAUACGGAGGGGGCAAGCGUUGUUCGGAAUUACUGGGCGUAAAGGGCGCGUAGGCGGAUAUUCAAGUCAGAGGUGAAAGCCCCGGGCUCAACCUGGGAAUUGCCUUUGAAACUGGAUGUCUGGAGUUCGGGAGAGGUGAGCGGAAUACCCAGUGUAGAGGUGAAAUUCGUAGAUAUUGGGUAGAACACCGGUGGCGAAGGCGGCUCACUGGCCCGCAACUGACGCUGAGGCGCGAAAGCGUGGGGAGCAAACAGGAUUAGAUACCCUGGUAGUCCACGCCGUAAACGAUGUGUGCUAGCCGUUGGGAUGCUUUGCAUUUCAGUGGCGCAGCUAACGCGAUAAGCACACCGCCUGGGGAGUACGGUCGCAAGAUUAAAACUCAAA